CCGGAUGUGGAAGCCCAGUAAUGGGUGGAGCUGACCGGUACUAAUAGGCCGAGGGCUUGUCCUCAGUUG
RNAcentral lists this ribosomal RNA (69 nucleotides) under Streptomyces viridochromogenes. RNAcentral describes it as "partial 23S ribosomal RNA". The record is from RNAcentral. Lineage: Bacteria; Bacillati; Actinomycetota; Actinomycetes; Kitasatosporales; Streptomycetaceae.